This 207-nucleotide ribosomal RNA is filed under the name uncultured bacterium. RNAcentral describes it as "partial 16S ribosomal RNA". It matches the Rfam family "Bacterial small subunit ribosomal RNA", at positions 524 to 734 of the family's 1533-position model. The record is from RNAcentral.
UACGAAGGGGGCUAGCGUUGUUCGGAUUUACUGGGCGUAAAGCGCACGUAGGCGGUUUGUUAAGUCAGGGGUGAAAUCCCGGAGCUCAACUCCGGAACUGCCUUUGAUACUGGCAACUAGAGUCCGGAAGAGGUAAGUGGAACUCCUAGUGUAGAGGUGGAAUCGUAGAUAUUAGGAAGAACACCAGUGGCGAAGGCGCUUCUGGUC